Molecule: transfer RNA, 76 nt
Filed under: Dysgonamonadaceae bacterium
Lineage: Bacteria; Pseudomonadati; Bacteroidota; Bacteroidia; Bacteroidales; Dysgonomonadaceae
Description: tRNA-His
Rfam family: tRNA
About the family: Transfer RNA (tRNA) molecules are approximately 80 nucleotides in length. Their secondary structure includes four short double-helical elements and three loops (D, anti-codon, and T loops).
Source: RNAcentral
GGUGAUUAUAGCUCAGUCGGUUAGAGCGUCGGAUUGUGGUUCCGAAGGUCGCGGGUUCGAAUCCCGUUUUUCACCC